CUGCUGCCUCCCGUAGGAGUUUGGGCCGUGUCUCAGUCCCAAUGUGGCCGUCCGCCCUCUCAGGCCGGCUACUGAUCGUCGCCUUGGUGGGCCGUUACCCCGCCAACCAGCUAAUCAGACGCGGGUCCAUCCCGUACCACCGGAGUUUUCAAGAAAGAAACAUGCGUCCCCUUCUGUUAUGCGGUAUUAGCACCUGUUUCCAGGUGUUAUCCCCCGGUACGGGGCAGGUUCCCCACGCGUUACUCACCCGUCCGCCACUAAGGCCCGCGCCUUCCGGGUCUGGUAAACCA
RNAcentral lists this ribosomal RNA (290 nucleotides) under uncultured bacterium. RNAcentral's name for it is "partial 16S ribosomal RNA". The record is from RNAcentral.